GAUGAACGCUGGCGGCGUGCCUAAUACAUGCAAGUCGAGCGAAAAGACGAGGCGUUUGCUCCUCUGAAGUUAGCGGCGGACGGGUGAGUAACACGUGGAUAACCUACCUAUACGACUGGGAUAACUUCGGGAAACCGGAGCUACUACCGGAUACUAUAUUGAACCGCAUGGUUCAAUAGUGAAAGACGGUUUUGCUGUCCCUUAUAGAUGGCUCCGCGCCGCAUUAGCGAGUUGGUAAGGUAACGGCUUACCAAGGCAACGAUGCGUAGCCGACCUGGGAGGGUGUACGGCCACACAGGGAGUGAGACACGACCCAGACUCUGAGAGGAGGCAGCGGUUGGGAAGCGUCCGCGAUGGGCGGAAGCCUGACGGAGCAGCGCCGCGUUGAUGAUGAAGGGCUUCGGAUCGGAAAACUCUGUUAGUGGGGAAGAACAAAUGUGUAAGUAACGAUGCACGUCUUGACGGUACCUAGUCAGAAAGCCACGGCUAACUACGUG
This 497-nucleotide ribosomal RNA is filed under the name uncultured bacterium. RNAcentral describes it as "partial 16S ribosomal RNA". It matches the Rfam family "Bacterial small subunit ribosomal RNA", at positions 28 to 507 of the family's 1533-position model. The record is from RNAcentral.